GAUAAACGCUAGCGGCGUGCCUAAUGCAUGCAAGUCGAACGGUUUUUCGCAAGAAAAGCAGUGGCAAACGGCUGAGUAACGCGUGAGCAAUCUGUCCCUAAGUGGGGAAUAACACCGGGAAACCGGUGCUAAUACCGCAUGUGGUAGUGGAGGUAGGUUUUCACUACUAAAGCUUUCGGGCGCUUUGGGAGGGGCUUGCGUCCUAUCAGGUAGUUGGUGAGGUAACGGCCCACCAAGCCGAUGACGGGUAGCUGGUUUUAGAGGACGUCCAGCCAGACGGGGACUGAGACACGGCCCCGACUCCUACGGGAGGCAGCAGCAAGGAAUUUUGCGCAAUGGGCGAAAGCCUGACGCAGCAACGCCGCGUGAGGGAAGAAGGCCUUCGGGUUGUAAACCUCUUUUCCCAGGGAAGAAAAUAGACGGUACCUGGGGAAUAAGUCACGGCUAACUACGUG
This 455-nucleotide ribosomal RNA is filed under the name uncultured bacterium. RNAcentral's name for it is "bacterial SSU rRNA". It matches the Rfam family "Bacterial small subunit ribosomal RNA", at positions 28 to 507 of the family's 1533-position model. The record is from RNAcentral.